Non-coding RNA from Mesocricetus auratus (golden hamster), 58 nucleotides. Lineage: Eukaryota; Metazoa; Chordata; Mammalia; Rodentia; Cricetidae. The record is from Rfam.
UGGCUCAGAGGUUAAGAGCACUGGCUGCUCUUCCAGAGGUCCUGAGUUCAAUUCUCAG